Long non-coding RNA from Lathyrus oleraceus (garden pea), 821 nucleotides. RefSeq lists it as uncharacterized. The transcript is spliced from 2 exons. The record is from RefSeq and is a predicted model, not a curated record. Lineage: Eukaryota; Viridiplantae; Streptophyta; Magnoliopsida; Fabales; Fabaceae.
CAGUUUGGGGCAUUGGAUAGUAAUUUGGGCUUUGGGCCCGAAUAGAUGAAGCCUAGAAUGAACAAAAAGAAUCGAUUCCAACGUAUUCCUCAUGAGAACUGAAGCUUAAAAAUGGAGAAGCGCUUAUCUGGAAGACCUUCUGCAACGUGCGAUUGCAGCUCUUGGCUUCGGCAUCGGUUCCUCAUCAUCAUUGCAUCGUGUUCACAAGAUUGAUUCGAACAAGAAGAAAAGCUUGAAUAUAGAAAAAAUUCGUACGUGCUCUUCGACUUCACAUUCAAAGAUCUGAAGGUUCAAAGAAGACGGUUCGUGAUUUGCGUGGUUCCGUUCGUCAAUUCAUAGCUUCGAAGGUUCGAAGAUUCAAUUCAUUCUGCAAGCAGAAAAAAGCGGUAUCGAAGGCGAAUCAGAGGACUUACCGAAUUCAACAAGGAAAAUGUUGGCAUUAUCGUGACAGAUUGAAGGUGAAACCGACCCGGCACAGAGCAACCGUACGUUGGGCACCCAUAUAAGAUGCUUGGAUUGCUAUUGUGUAGGAAAUAUGCGCCGCCCUUGUAACUUGAAUUUGGGCAUUGUAUGUAUAGAAACAUUGGUUUGAAGAAUUAUGAAUGGAAAGGAAAUGGACAAUACAUAGACUUGAAUGGAAUAGAAAAUCAAUCAAAGCUCUUGAAUGUAUAGGGAUGAGCAUUUGAAUAUGAUUUGUAAAGUUUAUUGAAUCAUAAAUUGAAAACAUGAAUUGUUUGAAUGGUAUUGGAAGAUGAACUUGCAUGUAUAUGGUUGAAAUAAUUUAAUAUAUACUUGGGAUUGCAUGAUGGAUUUUAUAUAAA